GACGAACGCUGGCGGCGUGCCUAAUACAUGCAAGUCGAACGCAGUGGGGACGGGUGAGUAACACGUGGGUAACCUCCCAUCAGAGGGGAUAACACUUGGAAACAGGUGCUAAACCUAUAAUGAUGGAUGCACCCGCGGUGCAUUAGCUAGUUGGUGAGGUAACGGCUCACCAAGGCCAAGAUGCAUAGCCGACCUGAGAGGGUGAUCGGCCACACUGGGACUGAGACACGGCCCAGACUCCUACGGGAGGCAGCAGUGGGGAAUAUUGGACAAUGGGCGCAAGCCUGAUGCAGCCAUGCCGCGUGUAUGAAGAAGGCCUUAGGGUUGUAAAGUACUUUCAGCGGGGAGGCGUGACCCGCAGAAGAAGCACCGGCUAACUCCGUGCCAGCAGCCGCGGUAAUAC
Molecule: ribosomal RNA, 403 nt
Filed under: uncultured bacterium
Lineage: Bacteria
Description: partial 16S ribosomal RNA
Rfam family: Bacterial small subunit ribosomal RNA
Source: RNAcentral